UAGGGAAUCUUCGGCAAUGGACGGAAGUCUGACCGAGCAACGCCGCGUGAGUGAAGAAGGUUUUCGGAUCGUAAAGCCCUGUUGUUAGAGAAGAACGUUGGUAGGAGUGGAAAAUCUACCAAGUGACGGUAACUAACCAGAAAGGGACGGCUAACUACGUGCCAGCAGCCGCGGUAAUACGUAGGUCCCGAGCGUUGUCCGGAUUUAUUGGGCGUAAAGCGAGCGCAGGCGGUUCUUUAAGUCUGAAGUUAAAGGCAGUGGCUUAACCAUUGUACGCUUUGGAGACUGGAGGACUUGAGUGCAGAAGGGGGGAGUGGAAUUCCAUGUGUAGCGGUGAGAUGCGUAGAUAUAUGGAGGAACACCGGUGGCGAAAGCGGCUCUCUGGUCUGUAACUGACGCUGAGGCUCGAAAGCGUGGGGAGCAAACAGG
This 429-nucleotide ribosomal RNA is filed under the name Bacillota bacterium. Its description in RNAcentral is "Firmicutes bacterium partial 16S ribosomal RNA". It matches the Rfam family "Bacterial small subunit ribosomal RNA", at positions 355 to 776 of the family's 1533-position model. Lineage: Bacteria; Bacillati; Bacillota. The record is from RNAcentral.